Long non-coding RNA from Drosophila montana, 928 nucleotides. RefSeq lists it as uncharacterized. Lineage: Eukaryota; Metazoa; Arthropoda; Insecta; Diptera; Drosophilidae. The record is from RefSeq and is a predicted model, not a curated record. The transcript is spliced from 3 exons.
CAGCAUUCACUAGGCUGGCCGUAAAAUUUUUAGCUGUUUGCAGUUCAAAACUCUGCUCAGUCCUGCCUAAUUUAGUUUAAAGUGAAAACCUUUACCCUUUUUCCACCGCAAAGCAACAACACACUCCUAGAGUCAAUCGGUGGAGAUGCUGGAGCCCAGCCACCGAAAUUUCAAUUAAGGCCCGGCUCACACGCAGCCACACAAUUUGGCACACUGGCAAAGUGGCAAUCACCUGAGGUAGCUCAAAGUAAUUUACGCACUUGAACUAAUUUACCAGCGAAAAGUGGUUGGCCCGAGCGCGCUUGGUGCAGUGCGUUGUCGUCCGGGCUUAAAAUAACUGAGUUUCCACUUGAAUGUUGGCAUAUCAAUCACAAAUAUCGCCAAGUUGAUGAAGCAAGUCUUUGUGCGCCCUUUGCCUCCCCAUUGGAUCCUUACUGCCACAUGAGAGGCAUGCCAAUCAAACUGCAAGUUGUUAACCGGAAGCUUUUACUUCUUUUGGCACUUGGCCGUUAAUCAAGCCCCAAGCAGCUGUGAUUUAAGCAAUAUGUAUUCCUGGCCCGAGCAGCUGCUUUGUAAUUUUUUUUUUUUUAAUUUAAAAUUAUUUUGGGCCGCAUCAUUUACACGCAAUCAAGGCGAGCCGACGCACCUCAACGCCCACUCUUGAGACAAGUAUCAUAACUCAAUUUCAUGUGCAAUUUCAUGCACCUGCGACGGCACGUAAUCGAGCUGCUUGCCACACCUCCACACCUCAUCUAUAUGCCAUGGCGAUGGCCUGCAGUUAGCGCCUUUGUGAUGUCUGCUGCAUAACCAAGUAGCCUGGCGAUUGCCACAAUUUUGUAAUCAGCGGACUGUCCAUUUUAUAAAAAACACUUCAAAAGUCAACUGCAAUAAAAAGCAGCAGUCAAAGGGCUGUCAAGCCCCGCUCAAG